This 73-nucleotide transfer RNA is filed under the name Candidatus Roizmanbacteria bacterium CG_4_10_14_0_2_um_filter_33_96. Its description in RNAcentral is "tRNA-Thr". It matches the Rfam family "tRNA". From Rfam's summary of the family: Transfer RNA (tRNA) molecules are approximately 80 nucleotides in length. Their secondary structure includes four short double-helical elements and three loops (D, anti-codon, and T loops). Further hydrogen bonds mediate the characteristic L-shaped molecular structure. tRNAs have two regions of fundamental functional importance: the anti-codon, which is responsible for specific mRNA codon recognition, and the 3' end, to which the tRNAs corresponding amino acid is attached (by aminoacyl-tRNA synthetases). tRNAs cope with the degeneracy of the genetic code in two manners: having more than one tRNA (with a specific anti-codon) for a particular amino acid; and 'wobble' base-pairing, i.e. permitting non-standard base-pairing at the 3rd anti-codon position. The record is from RNAcentral. Lineage: Bacteria; Candidatus Roizmaniibacteriota. RNAcentral also lists the same sequence under 3 other names.
GCCGACGUAGCUCAUCUGGUAGAGCAACUGUAUCGUAAACAGUAGGUGGUCAGUUCAAGUCUGACCGUCGGCU